GUGCCAGCCGCCGCGGUAAUACGGAGGGUGCAAGCGUUGCUCGGAAUUAUUGGGCGUAAAGGGCAGGUAGGUGGUCUCAUUUGUCUGGGGUGAAAGCCUUGAGCUUAACUCAAGAAGUGCCCCGGAAACGGUGAGACUGGAGUAUCGGAGAGGUCGGUGGAAUACCCGGUGUAGCGGUGAAAUGCGUAGAGAUCGGGUGGAACACCAGAGGCGAAGGCGGCCGACUGGACGAUGACUGACACUCAACUGCGAAAGCGUGGGGAGCAAACAGGAUUAGAAACCCGAGUAGUCC
Molecule: ribosomal RNA, 292 nt
Filed under: uncultured bacterium
Lineage: Bacteria
Description: partial 16S ribosomal RNA
Rfam family: Bacterial small subunit ribosomal RNA
Source: RNAcentral